Molecule: ribosomal RNA, 360 nt
Filed under: Triticum aestivum (bread wheat)
Lineage: Eukaryota; Viridiplantae; Streptophyta; Magnoliopsida; Poales; Poaceae
Description: partial small subunit ribosomal RNA
Source: RNAcentral
AUGAUAAUAGAAAUUUCAUUGUUGAAAGGAACUGGAAUUAAUUGGUGUGCGGAUGUCGAGACGACUGAAGCUUCAACACUCAAAUUUGGUCUUGCCCUUGCGCAAAGGGUAGGAUGCAACCGACUCGUUAUUAGUUCUGAUAAUAUGGAGGCCAUUGACACCAUGAAGAAUGAAGGACACACUGCGGGUGCGGCGGCGGCAGUUUUCGACAUGCUUAAUCAUUUUGCGUGUGACUUUCCUAUUUGUAGGUUUGAACAUUGUAAUAGAAAAAAUAAAGUUGCUCAUGAGCUUACUAGGUUGGCUAGAUUUUCUUUAACAGUCGACUGGUUUGAGGAAUUGAAAUUGUACCCUUUCUCAUAA